This 428-nucleotide ribosomal RNA is filed under the name Coatitermes clevelandi. RNAcentral describes it as "partial 16S ribosomal RNA". The stretch from base 1 to 167 matches the Rfam family "Archaeal large subunit ribosomal RNA", at positions 1888 to 2097 of the family's 2987-position model. Lineage: Eukaryota; Metazoa; Arthropoda; Insecta; Blattodea; Termitidae. The record is from RNAcentral.
UCGCCUGUUUAUCAAAAACAUCUUUUCUUGUUAGUUUUUGAAGUAUGGCCUGCCCACUGACAUUUAUUUGUUGAAGGGCCGCGGUAUUUUGACCGUGCAAAGGUAGCAUAAUCAUUAGUUCUUUAAUUGUGAUCUGGUAUGAAUGGCUUGACGAGAUAUAAUCUGUCUUAGGAGCAUUAGUUUUAUUGAAUUUGGUUUUUGAGUUAAAAUUCUUAAAUGUUUUUAUGGGACGAGAAGACCCUAUAGAGUUUGACAGUUUUCUUAUUUAUUUGUUGUUUGUUUGGUUUUGUUGAGUGAUAAAAUUGUUUUGUUGGGGUGAUGAGAGGAAAUUACUUAACUCCUCUUUGUUUGUAUAUAUUUAUUUAUAUUUCUUUUGAUCCAUUUAUUUUGAUUAUAAGAUUAAAUUACCUUAGGGAUAACAGCGUAAA